This 801-nucleotide ribosomal RNA is filed under the name uncultured bacterium. RNAcentral's name for it is "bacterial SSU rRNA". It matches the Rfam family "Bacterial small subunit ribosomal RNA", at positions 8 to 798 of the family's 1533-position model. The record is from RNAcentral.
AGAGUUUGAUCAUGGCUCAGAUUGAACGCUGGCGGCAGGCUUAACACAUGCAAGUCGAACGGUAACAGAAAGUAGCUUGCUACUUUGCUGACGAGUGGCGGACGGGUGAGUAAUGCUUGGGAAUAUGCCUUAUGGUGGGGGACAACAGUUGGAAACGACUGCUAAUACCGCAUAACAUCUCCGGAUCAAAGUGGGGGACCUUCGGGCCUCACGCCAUAAGAGUAGCCCAAGUGGGAUUAGCUAGUUGGUAAGGUAAUGGCUUACCAAGGCGACGAUCCCUAGUUGGUCUUAGAGGAUGACCAGCCACACUGGAACUGAGACACGGUCCAGACUCCUACGGGAGGCAGCAGUGGGGAAUAUUGCACAAUGGGCGCAAGCCUGAUGCAGCCAUGCCGCGUGUGUGAAGAAGGCUUUCGGGUUGUAAAGCACUUUCAGCGAGGAGGAAAGGGUAUUGCUUAAUAGGUAAUAUCUGUGACGUUACUCGCAGAAGAAGCACCGGCUAACUCCGUGCCAGCAGCCGCGGUAAUACGGAGGGUGCGAGCGUUAAUCGGAAUUACUGGGCGUAAAGCGCGCGUAGGUGGUUAAUUAAGUCAGAUGUGAAAUCCCAGGGCUCAACCUUGGAACUGCAUUUGAAACUGGUUAACUAGAGUUUUGUAGAGGGUGGUAGAAUUUCAGGUGUAGCGGUGAAAUGCGUAGAGAUCUGAAGGAAUACCAGUGGCGAAGGCGGCCACCUGGACAAAGACUGACACUGAGGCGCGAAGGCGUGGGGAGCAAACGGGAUUAGAUACCCCGGUAGUCCAA